UACGGGAGGCAGCAGUGGGGAAUAUUGGGCAAUGGGCGAAAGCCUGACCCAGCAACGCCGCGUGAAGGAAGAAGGUCUUCGGANGNAAAACUUCUUUUAUGAGGGACGAAGGACGUGACGGUACCUCAUGAAUAAGCCACGGCUAACUACGUGCCAGCAGCCGCGGUAAU
This 170-nucleotide ribosomal RNA is filed under the name uncultured rumen bacterium. RNAcentral describes it as "partial 16S ribosomal RNA". It matches the Rfam family "Bacterial small subunit ribosomal RNA", at positions 340 to 524 of the family's 1533-position model. The record is from RNAcentral.